Molecule: ribosomal RNA, 590 nt
Filed under: uncultured marine eukaryote
Lineage: Eukaryota
Description: SSU rRNA
Rfam family: Eukaryotic small subunit ribosomal RNA
Source: RNAcentral
AACCUGGUUGAUCCUGCCAGUAGUCAUAUGCUUGUCUUAAAGAUUAAGCCAUGCAUGUCUAAGUAUAAGCAUUUAUACCGCGAGACUGCGAACGGCUCAUUAAAACAGUUAUGGUUUAUUUGAUGGUUCCUUUGCUACUUGGAUAACCGUAGUAAUUCUAGAGCUAAUACAUGCACGAAGGGGCGACUUACGAAGCCCUGUAUUUAUUAGAUUAAAGCCAACCGCCUCCGGGUGCUCGUGGUGAAUCAUAGUAACUAAUCGGAUCGCCGGCUCUAUGCCAGCGACGUGUCAUUCAAAUUUCUGCCCUAUCAGCUUUAGAUGGUAGGAUAUGGGCCUACCAUGGCGGUGACGGGUAACGGAGAAUUAGGGUUCGAUUCCGGAGAGGGAGCCUGAGAAACGGCUACCACUUCUAAGGAAGGCAGCAGGCGCGCAAAUUACCCAAUCCUGACUCAGGGAGGUAGUGACAAGAAAUAACAAUAAACCGGCUUAUGCCGGUUUAAUUGGAAUGAGUACAAUUUAAACAUCUUAACGAGGAACAAUUGGAGGGCAAGUCUGGUGCCAGCAGCCGCGGUAAUUCCAGCUCCAAUAGC